GAGUUUGAUCCUGGCUCAGGACGAACGCUGGCGGCGCGCUUAACACAUGCAAGUCGAGCGAGAACCGGGCCUUCGGGCCCGGGGAAAGCGGCGAACGGGUGAGUAUCACGUGGGUAAUCCACCCUCGGCACCGGGAUAGCCCGGGGAAACCCGGAUUAAUACCGGAUGGCCUCCGACACCUGCGGGCGUCGGAGAAAAGGUAGCUUCGGCCUCCGGCCGAGGAUGAGCCCGCGGCGGAUUAGCUUGUUGGUGGGGUAACGGCUCACCAAGGCGACGAUCCGUAGCUGGUCUGAGAGGACGAUCAGCCACACUGGGACUGAGACACGGCCCAGACUCCUACGGGAGGCAGCAGUGGGGAAUCUUGCGCAAUGGGCGAAAGCCUGACGCAGCGACGCCGCGUGCGGGAAGAAGGCCUUCGGUUGU
This 423-nucleotide ribosomal RNA is filed under the name uncultured Clostridia bacterium. Its description in RNAcentral is "bacterial SSU rRNA". It matches the Rfam family "Bacterial small subunit ribosomal RNA", at positions 9 to 426 of the family's 1533-position model. The record is from RNAcentral. Lineage: Bacteria; Bacillati; Bacillota; Clostridia.